RNAcentral lists this ribosomal RNA (1098 nucleotides) under Heterobothrium sp. AKV-2016. Its description in RNAcentral is "eukaryotic LSU rRNA". It matches the Rfam family "Eukaryotic large subunit ribosomal RNA", at positions 129 to 846 of the family's 3401-position model. The record is from RNAcentral. Lineage: Eukaryota; Metazoa; Platyhelminthes; Monogenea; Mazocraeidea; Diclidophoridae.
CAUUCUGACGUAGCAUGUGGUGUUUAGGUUAAUACGUUGAAGUGUAGCUUCGUUCCAAGUCCAAUCAUGAAUAUGGCUCUUAUUUAGCCCAGAGAGGGUGAAAGGCCCGUGUGGACGGAGUGACGCUUUACUGUGUUAACCUUAGAGUCGGGUUGUUUGAGAAUGCAGCCCAAAGUAGGUGGUAAACUCCAUCUAAGGCUAAAUACUGGCACGAGUCCGAUAGCGAACAAGUACCGUGAGGGAAAGUUGAAAAGUACUCUGAAGAGAGAGUUAACAGUGCGUGAAACCGCUUAGAGGCAAACGGGUGUAGUCAAGCUGCAAGCCCAUUGAAAUAGGGGGGCCAGAAUGGCGUGAGUCUGAGCACUUAGAGCUGACGACAAGGUACACUUAUGAUGGUGUAUUCGGUUCGCAAGGACUGAAUCUGUUGUUGCAGGCUUUGUCGUUGGUUGCUCUGCUGGCCCUCACACUGUCUUUGGGAGUAUGUCACGACCGUCGUUGCUGUCGGUCUGCUUCGUCUAAACCGCAUUAUGAGUAGUCUUGUGCUUCUCGUGGUGUGGAGGCAGGUAGCCAGGUCAAUUCUUUCGAGAGUCGAACUGGUGUUAAUUUGCUGGACGGAGUGGUACCUGUAACUGUGCAGUGCGGCGGGGCUGGCGGUGCAAUGGUUUCUGGUCGCGUUGAGAACCUGGCGUGGCGUGGGUCUGGCUGCUUGUUGCUAUCUGAGAUAGCCUUGUGGCGGCUCUGCUGCGGCAGAUUUUUUUAGCGUCUGGGCAUUCUUUGCGUUGAGCCAAUAGUCUGUGGCGUAGUGGUAGACGAUCCACCCGACCCGUCUUGAAACACGGACCAAGGAGUUUAACAUGUGCGCGAGUCAAUGAGUACUGCUUAGCAUACGAAACUCAAAGGCGCAGUGAAAGUAAAGGGUGACUUUGUUGCCUAAAGUGAGAUCCCGCUAUUUCUUGAGUGUUUUGAUCAGACGAUAGAGUGGUGGGCGCAUCACCGGGCCCGUCCCAUGGUGUAAUGGGCUUGCUUAGCGGCACCGGGCGGAGCAAGAGCGUACAUGUUGGAGACCGGAAGAAUGUGUGUAAACAUAUAUGCGCAUGG